AAGCUCUCCUUCCUCUACACCCUCAAUCGGCCCCUCUCUCUAACCUCACAAGCCAUUCUUCUCUCACAAAUCCAUCGGCCAUUCCUCCAGAAUCCGGUCUUGUUCCGGUCGUUCCAGCCGCCGCACUCACUCCGGCGUCCCUCUCUCCUCACUCAGCCGUUCCAUCACUCUCUCCCUCACUCUGUCAAUCUCACGCCCCUCGUCCUCCUCUGCCUCGAGACUUCCGCCACCGCCGUCGCCACUGGACCGACGUGGUUCGUGUGUUGCCGUUUUGGGGAAGCCGCUGCUAUCGUUUCGAUCCACCACCGGCGCUGUGCAGUCGGCGAGUAGCGCUGUCGUUGACGACUAGGGGCGUCGCUGCCGGCGUCUGCUUGAUUCGUCGCACCGUUGCCGUUGUUCUUGAGGUCCAGCGGCCAGCAGUGCAGCCCAACGUUCUUCUCUUCUAAAGUUAAGUCUAUUUCAUUCUACUAUUGUAUCUUGAUUUAUUUGCUUAUGAGGUGAAAGUUUAAUACCAGGGGUUGUGGUUUUCCUAAUUCCGUUUAUAAGCCGUGGGGAUUUUGCUACUGUGCUAAAUGAAUAACAGCGUUGUUAUAUGCUCGUCAAUGAGCCCUGUGUUGGAUUAUGAGCUAAGGUGUAUCCUUUCUUAUUAAACUGUGGAGCCUAUUUUCAUGUGUAUACUGAUCAUGCUUGGAUGGAGAAUAUGCAUUAUAGGACAUAGCAUAUUGAGCUCAGUAAAUACCUCGAAUGUGAUCGAAUUGAUUUCUUGUUGUUGAAUCGAAUGAAGUGUGAAAUAACUGAAAUGAAUUUGACGGUGCUGUUGGCAUGUUGCUUUAAUAAAUGCAGGUGAAUAAAGGAGGAAUGGAGGGAAUUUAGCCAAGACUUACCUAUCGAAGCUUGGCAGUAGGAGUCAUACAUGAUAAAAUAGGUAAAUAAUUGAUAUAUUAAAAAUAAUGCUUACAAAUAAAAUACUCAGAAUUAUUUUGUGUGAAUGUUGAAGAAUGAAAAAUUAUGAGUAAUUUUAUAUUGCAGUACAAGAGGCCCACCCAAACCCUGCGGUCCAGUUUGAUAUUUAACCCAGUCCGACAUUCCAAAACAACCCUCAAAUCAAAUCCCAAAUUCCAGCCG
Molecule: long non-coding RNA, 1125 nt
Filed under: Salvia miltiorrhiza (redroot sage)
Lineage: Eukaryota; Viridiplantae; Streptophyta; Magnoliopsida; Lamiales; Lamiaceae
Description: long non-coding RNA (SMIL_LNC010776)
Source: RNAcentral